RNAcentral lists this ribosomal RNA (452 nucleotides) under uncultured organism. RNAcentral's name for it is "partial 16S ribosomal RNA". It matches the Rfam family "Bacterial small subunit ribosomal RNA", at positions 332 to 798 of the family's 1533-position model. The record is from RNAcentral.
UACACUCCUGCGGGAGGCAGCAGUGGGGAAUUUUACGCAAUGGGGGAAACCCUGACGUAGCGACACCGCGUGAGCGAAGAAGCCCUUUGGGGUGUAAAGCUCUGUCAGCUGGAACGAAAACAAUGACGGUACCAGCAGAGGAAGCAUCGGCUAACUACGUGCCAGCAGCCGCGGUAAGACGUAGGAUGCGAGCGUUGUCCGGAUUUAUUGGGCGUAAAGAGUUCGUAGGUGGUUUGUUAAGUUUGGUGUUAAAGAUCGGGGCUCAACCCUGGGACUGCACUGAAUACUGGCAGACUCGAGUGUGGUAGAGGCUAGUGGAAUUCCCAGUGUAGCGGUGAAAUGCGUAGAUAUUGGGAAGAACACCGGUGGCGUAGGCGACUAGCUGGGCCAUAACUGACGCUGAGGAACGAAAGCCAGGGGAGCGAAUGGGAUUAGAAACCCGAGUAGUCCCA